RNAcentral lists this transfer RNA (73 nucleotides) under Dysdercus evanescens. RNAcentral's name for it is "tRNA-Thr". The record is from RNAcentral. Lineage: Eukaryota; Metazoa; Arthropoda; Insecta; Hemiptera; Pyrrhocoridae.
GUUUUAAUAGUUUAAAAAAAAAAAAAAAAAACAAUGAUUUUGUAAAUCAAAGAUAGGUUUUUCCUUUAAAACU